GUGGAAGGUAGUAAAUGGUCUAAAUACUCCAAUAAAAACCAGACUGUCAGACUAGAUAUCCAGCAAGACCCACCUCUAUGUUAAAUACUAGAAAGUCACUUGAAAUAUGCAGAUAGGUUAAAAGUGAAAGGAUAGAAUGCUUUCAGGAAGUGAAGGGUCUUCUUGUUGGAUACUUGGUGGUCACCAGCAGGCACUGGUGUAACUAAGCACAGCGGGAAGAUGGCAGAUACUGUGGAUUCGGACUCUCACUGCAUAGAAUCCGAAUUCAGUGGGCUGUCAACACGGCUUCCCAAAUCCCAACACAGAUUAGUAUCUCAUAUGUGUUCCUGCUACAUAUUACACCUGGCUUCAUGUCCAAGCUCUAAUGAAGCUUCUACCCUUGCCCGUCUACAUCCCAUUCUCCACAGAGCAUCCAAAGUAGUGUAAUCGAACAUGUCACUCUUCUGCUCAGAACCCUUCAGUAGCUCCUCCCCAUUUCAUGCCGGACAAACACCAGAGUCCUUCUGUGGGUCUCCAUGGCCCCGAGGGUUCCCUGUCCCUCACCUCUCACCACUCUCCACUUCUCCCCCAACAUGCCAGGGACACUCCUGACUUGGGGCCCUGGUAACUGUCCUCUGGCUCUGGAAUGUCCAUCCCUCCUCCAUGUCUGUUCAGCAUCGCCCUCCCCAGGAGGCUGCCCUCUUGCUGCACCAGCCCUGCCCAUCCCCAGCAGGCUCUCCUGGUCUCGUCCUGUCAUCUCGUCCUUUUUCCCUUUGCACUCACCACCUGCCA
This 771-nucleotide long non-coding RNA is filed under the name Homo sapiens (human). RNAcentral describes it as "HSALNT0049866". The record is from RNAcentral. Lineage: Eukaryota; Metazoa; Chordata; Mammalia; Primates; Hominidae.